CGGCAACACUCUGGAGAGACCGGAGGCCCUCAGGGCAGACCCGGCGCCGAAGGGGCACGAAGCACACUGCUUCCAAACUCUCAGGCAAAAGGACAGAGGGGCAACG
RNAcentral lists this non-coding RNA (106 nucleotides) under Luteimonas sp. 9C. RNAcentral describes it as "Glycine". It matches the Rfam family "Glycine riboswitch aptamer". Rfam says of the family: This family represents the bacterial glycine riboswitch. The record is from RNAcentral. Lineage: Bacteria; Pseudomonadati; Pseudomonadota; Gammaproteobacteria; Lysobacterales; Lysobacteraceae.